AGUGGCGGGCAGCAGCUAAGUCCAUGGAGAAGGGGAGAGGCCAAGGGCUCCAGGAGGGAAGGAUUUGGGGAAAGAGAGGCUCUAUUUUGUCUUUGCCAUCUUGUCCUUUCUGCUAUGAGGGCAGGAGGAAAGGAAAAGAGGGGCCGACAGGAGUGUCACAGGGUCCAGGAGCAUGCUGGUGCCUGAGAUUUCUGGGAUAUGUGAGUGAAGAAGACCCCACCUCUGACUUAAUCUCUGCCUGUUGAACUGUACUGCUUCCCACUCUACAGUAAUCCCGUCCUGGACCAUGUGAGCCUCCAACCUCCGCCACCCUGCUGAAGGCCAGAGGAAAGUGGAGAGACACACCAUGAGGAAGGGGAGCCAGAGAAGACAAGAUAUGAGGACUUAAACUAGCCAUAUCUGGCCCUGCCUUUGAGGAGGCCCAGCUAGUCAAGGUCAGAGAAACGUUGGGAACACAGCCCUGCAGCCUAUAGAUGCUCUGAGCUCUUCUGGCACGGUUCCCAGGUGCUGCAGGGGCUGGUUUCCUUAGAUUGGCAGCAGACACCCAGCCCAAGCCCCCGGGACCUGGCAGCGUGAUUGAUGUGCUCUGUGGUCACCUAGGUAACCACAGACCUGCCCUCAUCCUCUGUCCUCUGCCAUUGAUGGCAAGAGGGGGUACAUGAUGUCCAAACACUUUUCCAGGAGCAGGAAAAAGUGGGUAAUCUGGAUAAAGGAGAGGUGGGACAUGGACUGAGCAGACUGGAGGUGAGUGGCUUUCCAAGGCCCUGGGCGGGCCUGUCGGCAGUCACUACAUGUGCGUGUGGCACGAUGCCCAGGGAAGAAAGCUGAAGGAGUUUCCUCCACAGAGUUGCUACUACUGCUUCUGGGCCCCACCCAGAUCUGAACCAAACAGCUCCCGGAGCCAAGGAAAGCUUGCUGGCACUGAUUCCCACGGAGAACAAGAAGAAGUUUCUUGGGCCUAGAUUUUAUCUAUUAUUAGCGUGUGAGUCCACCCACAUGCAAAUAUGCGCACCUGGGAGCACUGUGGUCCGUAUUUGGCAGGCUGAGGACAACUGCUGCGAAGUUCUCAACCCUCAGUACAGAAUUCAGGGACGUGGACCCACGUCGUCAGCCGGCUCCACAGGCUGUUGGACGAUCACGGUUCUCGGCCAUCUCCACACGCUGCCUUGCCAUCAUGGUUCUCGGUCAUCUCCACACGCUAUCUGGCAAUCACGGUUCUCAGCCAUCGGCACAGGCUGUCCGGGAUCACCGUAUUACACGUGAACCGCGUUUUAUCAUCGCUUUAGUUUACAAUUCUCUAGUAAGGAUGGACAUCAUAAACACUUCUCAUGAGCUUAGUAGCCAGCCCAUGCAUCUUCUUUGUGAAAUGCCUAUUGACUUCUCUUUUCCAUUAAAAACAAAAAUCAAGACUA
This is a long non-coding RNA of Mus musculus (house mouse), 1412 nucleotides long. RefSeq annotates it as predicted gene, 33926. The record is from RefSeq and is a predicted model, not a curated record. The transcript is spliced from 3 exons. NCBI's taxonomy places the organism in Eukaryota, Metazoa, Chordata, Mammalia, Rodentia, Muridae.